AUGGCGGCUGAGCUCCUCCAUGGACUGCUGCGUUUCCAGGAGAUAGAGAAGGACGGAAGGAAGGGAGAGGAGGAAGGGCAGGGGUGCGGCGGCCUCGACGGCCACAUGCACGAUGAUUCGGUCAACACAUUGGGAUCCUAUAGUUUUCAUCCUCCUGGAAACGGCAGCUCCUCGACGCCGGCAUCCACUUCUUGCAAGAUUCAUAUUGGUUCGUCUUGGUUCGAGCCAUAUAAGCCCGUGGAUCGACCCGGCGGAGCUGAAUCUGAAGCACUGGAUAGGGAGACACCCCUUCGUGUAUGCCUGGAUAGCGAUGCACCACCAGAGAUAGAGUAUUAUGACCUGUCCCAUGAGUUCGACGUGAAGAUGCUGCACCCGGUCAGGGAUGACGACCUGCAGGUGUUCUCCGUGAGAUUCAACAAGGUCUUUGGCAAAUGCCAGGGCCUGGGCAAUGUCUGCUUCCUACAUGGCAUCUCGAUGCGGAAUGGGAGGCUUUGUGUAGCGAUGAGGUUUUCCGAAGGAUCCAUCGGGGAUAGGAUGGCUCAACUUAAAGGUGGAAGGCUCCCUUUGUCAGAUGUUUUAAGAUGCAAAUGA
RNAcentral lists this ribosomal RNA (591 nucleotides) under Triticum aestivum (bread wheat). RNAcentral describes it as "partial small subunit ribosomal RNA". The record is from RNAcentral. Lineage: Eukaryota; Viridiplantae; Streptophyta; Magnoliopsida; Poales; Poaceae.